ACGGAAGGCAGCAGUGGGGAAUAUUGCACAAUGGGGGAAACCCUGAUGCAGCGACGCCGCGUGAAGGAAGAAGUAUCUCGGUAUGUAAACUUCUAUCAGCAGGGAAGAUAAUGACGGUACCUGACUAAGAAGCCCCGGCUAACUACGUGCCAGCAGCCGCGGUAAUACGUAGGGGGCAAGCGUUAUCCGGAUUUACUGGGUGUAAAGGGAGCGUAGACGGGUCGGCAAGUCUGAUGUGAAAGGCUGGGGCUCAACCCCGGGACUGCAUUGGAAACUGUCGGUCUUGAGUGCAGGAGGGGUAAGCGGAAUUCCUAGUGUAGCGGUGAAAUGCGUAGAUAUUAGGAGGAACACCAGUGGCGAAGGCGGCUUACUGGACGGUAACUGACGUUGAGGCUCGAAAGCGUGGGGAGCAAACAGGAUUAGAUACCCUGGUA
RNAcentral lists this ribosomal RNA (434 nucleotides) under uncultured Blautia sp. Its description in RNAcentral is "partial 16S ribosomal RNA". It matches the Rfam family "Bacterial small subunit ribosomal RNA", at positions 341 to 792 of the family's 1533-position model. The record is from RNAcentral. Lineage: Bacteria; Bacillati; Bacillota; Clostridia; Lachnospirales; Lachnospiraceae.